AUGGCAGGCAUGGGCGAGAUGUCGAUGAGGCCGCGGCCGGGCCCGCCGAUGCACCGCGGCCCGCCUCCCAUGGCGCGCCCCCGCCCCGAACCCAUCGACCGCGAGAAGACCUGCCCUCUCCUGCUCCGGGUUUUCACCAAGGUUGGUGGCCAUCACCUAAAUGAAGAGUUUUCUGAGAGAGGGAAGGAGCCAAAAGAUGAAGUUCAGAUUUACACGUGGAAGGAUGCCACACUCCGGGAGCUCACUGAUCUUGUCAAAGAGGUUGCUCUUCCAGCAAGGAAAAGAAACGCUAGGUUAUCUUUUGCUUUUGUAUACCCGGAUAAGAAUGGUCGUUUUGUUGUCAAACAGGUGGGUUCGACCUUUUCUUAUGGUCAUGGAAGAGGGGAUGAUGCCAAAUCUCUUGGGGAUCUUGGCUUCCAGAUAGGUGAUUACUUGAGCGUGUCGAUCAUGUGA
This 453-nucleotide ribosomal RNA is filed under the name Triticum aestivum (bread wheat). RNAcentral's name for it is "partial small subunit ribosomal RNA". Lineage: Eukaryota; Viridiplantae; Streptophyta; Magnoliopsida; Poales; Poaceae. The record is from RNAcentral.